AGCGAACGCUGGCGGCAGGCUUAACACAUGCAAGUCGAGCGGGCACUUUCGGGUGUCAGCGGCGGACGGGUGAGUAACGCGUGGGAACGUGCCCUCUGGUUCGGAAUAACUCAGGGAAACUUGAGCUAAUACCGGAUACGCCCUUUUGGGGAAAGGCUUGCUGCCGGAGGAUCGGCCCGCGUCUGAUUAGCUAGUUGGUGAGGUAACGGCUCACCAAGGCGACGAUCAGUAGCUGGUCUGAGAGGAUGAUCAGCCACACUGGGACUGAGACACGGCCCAGACUCCUGCGGGAGGCAGCAGUGGGGAAUAUUGGACAAUGGGCGCAAGCCUGAUCCAGCCAUGCCGCGUGAGUGAUGAAGGCCUUAGGGUUGUAAAGCUCUUUUAUCCGGGACGAUAAUGACGGUACCGGAGGAAUAAGCCCCGGCUAACUUCGUG
This 435-nucleotide ribosomal RNA is filed under the name uncultured bacterium. Its description in RNAcentral is "partial 16S ribosomal RNA". It matches the Rfam family "Bacterial small subunit ribosomal RNA", at positions 29 to 507 of the family's 1533-position model. The record is from RNAcentral.